This 739-nucleotide long non-coding RNA is filed under the name Brassica napus (rape). Its description in RNAcentral is "long non-coding RNA (BNAP_LNC008537)". Lineage: Eukaryota; Viridiplantae; Streptophyta; Magnoliopsida; Brassicales; Brassicaceae. The record is from RNAcentral.
UCUUAAACAAACGCAAUUUGAUCACUCUUUUGAUCUUCAAAACAUCCAACACAAGGGCGAAAGCGCGCUACAACAAAAAUCCGAAAUUUUUGUUUAGCACUUCCAGUUGGCUUAAAAAUUGCCUCUGAGAAGAUGCUCGAUUCGUACCAUACAAGUCAUAUAAGCCGAGAACCUAUCGCGGACUUUAAAUCAGUACGAGUCAGGAAGAAAUCGCAGCAGGAAAAACGAUAGCCGGCUAGUCACCACAUAAACCUUAAACCGAAAGUAAACCUAGGUCUUGCCCUAAACCCAACUCUCUGGUCUCUAACAUCUCAAGGCAUGAUAUCUAAAAAUUGAUACGAGAUCUUAAAACCAUGUCUCGCCGUUCGUUUCUAAACGUUCACAAAAUUCUGCAUCUUUUACGAACAGACGAAAGAACGCUACACUAUGAGUUAGGUAUGAGACGACAACUCAUAUUCUUUUCUCUCAACAAUUUAAAAAUAUACGCAAACUGAAACUCUUGAAACAUCCAUCAUAUAUAUAAAACCGCGUAAAGCGGUAAGGGAUUCAAAGCCACCAACGGCCAGUCCCGAUAAGCAAUAAAAACGGCCAAAACAGGCCCAUACAAUUUCUCGAAAUAAAGGCCACAUUCGGCCACAAACAUAGAACAGAAAGACAAGCAUCUCCCUCUCAAUAAUCACUCCACCUCUCAUGGUCCAAAGUCAAAAUCCCCGGACAACGAAGCACCAAACGCAUCCGC